GACGAACGCUGGCGGCGUGCUUAACACAUGCAAGUCGAACGGAAAGGCCCUGCUUUUGUGGGGUGCUCGAGUGGCGAACGGGUGAGUAACACGUGAGUAACCUGCCCUUGACUUUGGGAUAACUUCAGGAAGCUGGGGCUAAUACCGGAUAGGAGCUCCUGCUGCAUGGUGGGGGUUGGAAAGUUUCGGCGGUUGGGGAUGGACUCGCGGCUUAUCAGCUUGUUGGUGGGGUAGUGGCUUACCAAGGCUUUGACGGGUAGCCGGCCUGAGAGGGUGACCGGCCACAUUGGGACUGAGAUACGGCCCAGACUCCUACGGGAGGCAGCAGUGGGGAAUAUUGCACAAUGGGCGGAAGCCUGAUGCAGCAACGCCGCGUGCGGGAUGACGGCCUUCGGGUUGUAAACCGCUUUCGCCUGUGACGAAGCGUGAGUGACGGUAAUGGGUAAAGAAGCACCGGCUAACUACGCG
Molecule: ribosomal RNA, 468 nt
Filed under: uncultured bacterium
Lineage: Bacteria
Description: partial 16S ribosomal RNA
Rfam family: Bacterial small subunit ribosomal RNA
Source: RNAcentral